UACAGAGGUCUCAAGCGUUGUUCGGAUUCAUUGGGCGUAAAGGGUGCGUAGGCGGCGCGGUAAGUCGGAUGUGAAAUCUCGGAGCUUAACUUCGAAACUGCAUUCGAUACUGCCGUGCUUGAGGACUGGAGAGGAGACUGGAAUUUACGGUGUAGCGGUGAAAUGCGUAGAUAUCGGGAGGAACACCAGUGGCGAAGGCGGCUUCCUGGCCUGUUCUUGACGCUGAGGCGCGAAAGCUAGGGGAGCAAACGGG
RNAcentral lists this ribosomal RNA (253 nucleotides) under uncultured bacterium. RNAcentral's name for it is "partial 16S ribosomal RNA". It matches the Rfam family "Bacterial small subunit ribosomal RNA", at positions 524 to 776 of the family's 1533-position model. The record is from RNAcentral.